RNAcentral lists this small nucleolar RNA (65 nucleotides) under Lepidothrix coronata (blue-crowned manakin). Its description in RNAcentral is "Small nucleolar RNA SNORD44 (ENSLCOG00000001201.1)". Lineage: Eukaryota; Metazoa; Chordata; Aves; Passeriformes; Pipridae. The record is from RNAcentral.
CCUGUGUGAUGACAUGUGAUUGCCCUGACUCCAGUUGUGGAGGUCUGCCAUUAGCUCUAUCUGAC